This 342-nucleotide ribosomal RNA is filed under the name uncultured Glomeromycotina. Its description in RNAcentral is "LSU rRNA". The record is from RNAcentral. Lineage: Eukaryota; Fungi; Glomeromycota.
UUGAAAGGGAAACGAUUGAAGUCGUGUANGAGAGAAAUCAAUUUUGAAUGUGCAUUUGUGGGCGUAUGAGAUUUCAUUGUUUACAAUAUGUAUGUUUUUUGGUGUACUUUUUGUAUGGUAGGUCAAUGUCGGUUUUGAUGCCAUAAAAUGAUGGAGGAAUGUAGUUGGUUCGGUUGAAGUGUUAUAGCUUUGGUAAAUGUGGUGAUUAAGACGAGGAUUGAACGAAUACCUUUUAGGUAUCCGUUGACUUGAAAGUUAUUAGGUGCCGAAAGUUGCCUACGGUAAUUUAAGUUGACGGUCAAUAGGUUAGAACGUGAUUAAUUCGUUAAGGAUGUUGACGUA